Acanthosepion pharaonis is the source of this 113-nucleotide non-coding RNA. The record is from the annotation of a GenBank genome assembly. Lineage: Eukaryota; Metazoa; Mollusca; Cephalopoda; Sepiida; Sepiidae.
UUACGGCCAUAUCACGUCAAAACAUCGGUUCCUGUGUGAUCAUUGAAGUUAAGCAAUGUCGAGCCAGGUCACUACUUAGAUAUGUGACCGCCAGGGCAUACCAGGUGCUGUUA